CAAGAGGGAAGUUUUGUAAAAGCAACAGGAAGAAUUGCUCAGAUACCCGUGAGCGUAUAUAACUUGGGUCGUGUUAUAAAUGCUCUGGCUAAACCUAUUGAUGGGAGAGGCGAAAUUGUAGCUUCCGAAUCUCGCUUAAUUGGAUCUCCUGCUCCAAGUAGAAUUUCCAGGCGUUCCGUAUACGAACCUCUUCAAACAGGGCUUAUUGCUAUCGAUUCGAUGAUCCCUAUAGGGCGCGGUCAGCGAGAGUUCAUUAUUGGGGACAGACAGACUGGCAAAACAGCAGUAGCCACAGAUACAAUUCUCAAGAAAAAAGGGCAAGGUGUAAUAUGUGUUUAUGUAGCUAUCGGUCAAAGAGCAUCCUCCGUAGCUCAAGUAGUAACUACUUUCCAUGAGGAGGGGGCCAUGGAAUACACUAUUGUAGUAGCUGAAAUGGCGGAUUCACCUGCUACAUUACAAUACCUCGCUCCUUAUACGGGAGCAGCCCUAGCUGAGUAUUUUAUGUACCGCGAACGGCAUACUUUAAUAAUUUAUGAUGAUCUCUCCAAACAGGCACAAGCUUAUCGCCAAAUGUCCCUUCUAUUAAGUCCCGGCCGUGAGGCUUAUCCAGGGGAUGUUUUUUAUUUGCAUUCACGCCUUUUAGAAAGAGCCGCGAAAUUAAAUUCUCUUUUAGGCGAAGGAAGUAUGACCGCUUUACCAAUAGUUGAGACUCAAUCUGGAGACGUUUCCGCCUAUAUUCCUACUAAUGUAAUCUCCAUUACAGAUGGACAAAUAUUCUUAUCUGCGGAUCUAUUCCAU
RNAcentral lists this ribosomal RNA (798 nucleotides) under Triticum aestivum (bread wheat). RNAcentral's name for it is "partial small subunit ribosomal RNA". Lineage: Eukaryota; Viridiplantae; Streptophyta; Magnoliopsida; Poales; Poaceae. The record is from RNAcentral.